Felis catus (domestic cat) is the source of this 506-nucleotide long non-coding RNA. RefSeq lists it as uncharacterized. Lineage: Eukaryota; Metazoa; Chordata; Mammalia; Carnivora; Felidae. The record is from RefSeq and is a predicted model, not a curated record. The transcript has 3 exons.
CCUCAGGUCUCUAGCUCGCAGGGACCCAAAGAAAUCAACCGAUGAAAUCGGGAAACGAUUGGCGGAAUCUGGAUUCACCCGCCCUACAGAGUUGUACCUGUGUCCCGUCGCCCAGGAGGGCCACCCUGGACCCGUGGAGAGAGUGGCCGCACGCAGGUCACCGGAAGCAAGGCCUGGAGUUGGCCUGGGAAGUCCUCCUCCAGCGCCCCGGCCCCGCCGUAAGUUCUUCGUUCACCGGUCCUGGGACCAGUAUUUGGAGUCCCCGGAGUCAGAGCCCGAGGCUCAUCUCGUAACGCCAGCCAAAGACCCUGAGGGCAGCCAAACUAACCCUCAAGCAACAGGGACGGACGUCCCUGACGUCAGCAAGACACCGCGGGAUUGACCCCAAGACAGCGAUCGACCCGAACUUCACUGUCCACCUCAAGUACCCACUGACCGUUGUCCUAGAUUGUCCUCAUGUAAAAUCCAAGGAAACAAAUAAAACUUCACAAGGGGGUGGCACCUGU